Small nuclear RNA from Suricata suricatta (meerkat), 105 nucleotides. The record is from Ensembl. Lineage: Eukaryota; Metazoa; Chordata; Mammalia; Carnivora; Herpestidae.
UUCAUUAUUAUAUUUAACUUUAAAAAGAAUGAUCCUAUACUGAGAAGAUUAACAUGGCCCCUGCGCCAGAGGGACACACAAAUUUGUGAGGUGUGCCAUAUUUAA